Molecule: long non-coding RNA, 623 nt
Organism: Ctenopharyngodon idella (grass carp)
Lineage: Eukaryota; Metazoa; Chordata; Actinopteri; Cypriniformes; Xenocyprididae
Exons: 2
Source: RefSeq, a predicted model, not a curated record
GGGAUAAGAAUAAAAAGAGUGAUUGUUAAUUUGAGUAAGAAAUCAUAGGGAAAGCAUCAAUGGUCCUUUUGUGCGAUAGGUGGCGGUAAUGCACUUAAAUGUCUGCGAUCCACCGUAAAGCAAGAAGAAGAAGAAGAAGAAGAAGAAGAAGAAGAAGAAGAAGAAGUUAAGUCAAGUACGUAAUGGAGGGAAGCACAACAUUUUUUGACGUGUCAGGACAUGUGCAGGAGGAAGCAAGCUUGUGGGAUUACUGUGUGUUUGAGCAUCAAAACUUAAAUCACAGCAGCAGCAGCAACGAGCAGAACAGCAAUAACACCAACAACUAUUCCUGCUACAGCACCUGAAGACAGACCUGAAUCUGGAACAGCUGAAGACAGACAGACAUUAUUACUAGUGAGAGCCACUGAUAACCAACUGUACCAAUAUAUUUGUCUGUUAUUUACACCUUUGUACUUUGGUCAUCAAUUGUAUGACAUUGAUUAAUAAAUGGCAGAUUCCUUAAUAAAAAUAACAGCAGUUAAAACAGCAUCACAGCACUGUGAGCUCAAAAGGAAACAUCAAUGUCACAGAAAAACUAAUUUUAUGCAUUUUUCAUGUUAAUAAAUUCAGACUUGUUAACAGCG